UACAUAGAGAGUUCUAAGACAGUCAGGG
This 28-nucleotide non-coding RNA is filed under the name Cricetulus griseus (Chinese hamster). The record is from RNAcentral. Lineage: Eukaryota; Metazoa; Chordata; Mammalia; Rodentia; Cricetidae.